UACGUAGGGGGCAAGCGUUGUCCGGAAUCAUUGGGCGUAAAGAGCGCGUAGGCGGUCCGGUAAGUCCGCUCUGAAAGUCCGGGGCUCAACCCCGGGAGGCGGGCGGAUACUGUCGGGCUAGAGUCCGGAAGAGGCGAGUGGAAUUCCUGGUGUAGCGGUGAAAUGCGCAGAUAUCAGGAGGAACACCGAUGGCGAAGGCAGCUCGCUGGGACGGUACUGACGCUCAUGCACGACAGCGUGGGGAUCAAACAGG
This 253-nucleotide ribosomal RNA is filed under the name uncultured bacterium. RNAcentral's name for it is "partial 16S ribosomal RNA". It matches the Rfam family "Bacterial small subunit ribosomal RNA", at positions 524 to 776 of the family's 1533-position model. The record is from RNAcentral.